This is a long non-coding RNA of Lolium rigidum, 1547 nucleotides long. RefSeq lists it as uncharacterized. The record is from RefSeq and is a predicted model, not a curated record. NCBI's taxonomy places the organism in Eukaryota, Viridiplantae, Streptophyta, Magnoliopsida, Poales, Poaceae. The transcript has 4 exons.
CUGCCGUCGCACCUCUCCCCGCCGCCGCUCUGCCUUCACUUCCCCGAGCUAGCUCGCGUGCCGCCGCCACCUCUCCGCCGCUCGUCGCUCCCACCACUGCGCCGCUGUAGAUCCACCGCAUCUCAUCCUCCCAAUGGCCACCGCCCGUGUUGACCCUGUCCGCAUCAGGCAGCUCGCGUACGCGUACGGCACCGGGCUCCUGCCGCCGCAAAAGUACUCGAGGUCACCAGGAAGGAGCUCGCUGCCGCCGGAAAGGAGCUCGUCGCCACCGGAUGUGAGCUCGCCGCCGGCUUCUGGUCUCGUCCCUGACCUCCUCCCUCCGUGCUUGAGAAUUCUGCUGUCCACACCGUCGGUUCCUGAACUUCCAGUCGUCAGUCGACCAGCACACCAAGGAAAAAAAUGGCAAGGGAAGAAGGGUUUAAGCGAGGAGGCUCACACAUAUGAUGAUGUACGGGAGGAACAAGUGGCAAGAGACGCUGAGAAAAUGAAGAGUUUGGGGAUUGCUGUUAUUUCUAGUGAUUUGAAUGAAUUAAAGAAGGCAGCUAUAUGAGUGUUGUUUGCUACUCUGGUUCCCAAUUUCUAUUAGUACUGCAUUUGCUCAAUUUAUAUGAAUUUCUUCUCUACAAAUCUACAAUUGAAAUGAACUUGAAGUGCUUAAUUACUUCAUCAUUCAAUUGUCCCUAAAAACUGGUUUAUCAUGUAUUGCUAUGGUUGUUUUGUACUUAUCUGUUUCAUAUUUUCGUUCAUAUGGUCUAGCCUUACACAUGGUAAAUUUUAUGCUCUGGCAACAUGCUGCGUAAAAAUGAGAGUUCAUCAUGUGCAUGUCGAGGGAAGAUUAUGUGCCCAUACUUUUUUGAGUUCGUAUGCGUCCUUAUGCACCGGGAAAAAUAGUACCUAGUAAUCUAUCAUUUUUGGAGUGGUGCUAAAUUCUUGAUUUGGAGUGUUAAUAUCAUCAUGUGCAGACUGUUCUAUUAUAGCUUAGGUUUAUCUAGUUUUACUGUUAUAUUAUAGCGUAGGUUUAUUUUUAUCAUUCCUCUAUGCUGAAACUUGUGUUAUCGUUUCUAGAGAACUUCAGAAGUAACUGUUCCAGAAUUAAGUUGAGUGCUUAGAUCUCAAUCAGUUAUACUUGGAUCCGAUGAUGAAGAAGGUGUUGAAAAUAUGCAUACUGACCAGCUAGAAGUGGAUGAAGGUGGAGGUUGUCAAGUACAAGACGAAGCAAGCCUCACCGCCACAAGAAGAAUGAACUCCCAAGAGGUUAAUUAACAGCAUAAGAGGUUGAUCAUCAUCGGAAGAAAUAAAUACAGAAUGCUCCAUGGACUAGAUGAAAGGACAACCAUUGUCUUACACAUAUUUGUUGCAAUGCCAUUGUCUUAGAAACCAACUUAUGCUUGUUCUUUGUUGUCGGUGGGUGGCAUAUUUAAGGUCGUGUAUUACACCUGAUCAAGAAGUAUUUCAUUUUGAGUGUGAUCGUGGAUGGACCAUGCUUUAUGAAGAAUAUGUGUGACUUUUGGAUUAAUUAGUUAUGGUCAUGUUCACUUUGUAACAUA